GGUAAGUGACAUUUCCUUCUAACAUAAUUUUUUUGUUAGCACAAUAUUCUUUGUUUGGUUUUUCUUUUUUAUUUUAUUUUAUUUUGUCAAUAGUAGGUCAAAUUUAUUGAAUUUUCAUGUGCAGAUUCAUGUGAUUUAUUUGUGUGUAAAGCUAAUUAAGUAUUGAAUUUUGAUAUUAACCGUCAUAACCCAAUAAAAGUAAAAAAUGUAUUUAUGAGCUAUGGCAUGUUGAGUGAUUUGAUCUUCAUUGCCUAUUUGGCUUCACUUUCUUUG
This 273-nucleotide long non-coding RNA is filed under the name Solanum tuberosum (potato). RNAcentral describes it as "long non-coding RNA (STUB_LNC000241)". The record is from RNAcentral. Lineage: Eukaryota; Viridiplantae; Streptophyta; Magnoliopsida; Solanales; Solanaceae.